Molecule: ribosomal RNA, 487 nt
Filed under: uncultured Verrucomicrobiaceae bacterium
Lineage: Bacteria; Pseudomonadati; Verrucomicrobiota; Verrucomicrobiia; Verrucomicrobiales; Verrucomicrobiaceae
Description: bacterial SSU rRNA
Rfam family: Bacterial small subunit ribosomal RNA
Source: RNAcentral
AAACUUAAAGGAAUUGACGGGGACCCGCACAAGCGGUGGAGUAUGUGGCUUAAUUCGAUGCAACGCGAAGAAACCUUACCAAGGCUUGACAUGGAUUUCUAAGCACGUGAAAGCGUGUGACCCUUCGGGGAACUUCCACAGGUGCUGCAUGGCCGUCGUCAGCUCGUGUCGUGAGAUGUUGGGUUAAGUCCCGCAACGAGCGCAACCCUUGUGAUUAGUUGCCAGCACGUCAUGGUGGGAAACUCUAAUCAGACUGCCCAGAUCAACUGGGAGGAAGGUGGGGACGACGUCAGGUCAGUAUGGCCCUUACGCCUUGGGCUGCACACGUACUACAAUGCCCGGCACAAUGAGAACCGAAACCGCGAGGUGGAGGAAAUCUGGAAAACCGGGCCCAGUUCGGAUUGGAGGCUGCAACCCGCCUCCAUGAAGUUGGAAUCGCUAGUAAUGGCACAUCAGCUACGGUGCCGUGAAUACGUUCCCGGGUCUU